GAUGAACGCUGGCGGCGUGCCUAAUACAUGCAAGUCGAGCGAACAGACGAGGAGCUUGCUCCUCUGACGUUAGCGGCGGACGGGUGAGUAACACGUGGAUAACCUACCUAUAAGACUGGGAUAACUUCGGGAAACCGGAGCUAAUACCGGAUAAUAUAUUGAACCGCAUGGUUCAAUAGUGAAAGACGGUUUUGCUGUCACUUAUAGAUGGAUCCGCGCCGCAUUAGCUAGUUGGUAAGGUAACGGCUUACCAAGGCAACGAUGCGUAGCCGACCUGAGAGGGUGAUCGGCCACACUGGAACUCAGACACGGUCCAGACUCCUACGGGAGGCAGCAGUAGGGAAUCUUCCGCAAAGGGCGAAAGCCUGACGGAGCAACGCCGCGUGAGUGAUGAAGGUCUUCGGAUCGUAAAACUCUGUUAUUAGGGAAGAACAAAUGUGUAAGUAACUAUGCACGUCUUGACGGUACCUAAUCAGAAAGCCACGGCUAACUACGUG
This 497-nucleotide ribosomal RNA is filed under the name uncultured bacterium. RNAcentral describes it as "partial 16S ribosomal RNA". It matches the Rfam family "Bacterial small subunit ribosomal RNA", at positions 28 to 507 of the family's 1533-position model. The record is from RNAcentral.